CUUUGCCUUUUCAUUGGCUGCCUAAUCAUAUACCAGAAAAGAAAGAAAACAACAUAUUGUGAAAGUACAAUAUAUGACAAUCCUCAGGAAAUUAAUCCCCCCCAAACUCAGAAAACCACAGAAGAUGCUUCAGGUCUUUCUCCAAACUCCACCUACAUGUUGGUAACAUUUCCAACUGGACUAAAAGGAUCCACUGUGACUGAAAAGACCACAUCACCAGAGACCAUUUAUUGUUAAGUUAACAGCGCUCCAAAGUCCAACCACACA
Long non-coding RNA from Scomber japonicus (chub mackerel), 267 nucleotides. RefSeq lists it as uncharacterized. Lineage: Eukaryota; Metazoa; Chordata; Actinopteri; Scombriformes; Scombridae. The record is from RefSeq and is a predicted model, not a curated record. The transcript is spliced from 3 exons.